GUCCUAGCCGUAAACGAUGCACAUUAGACGUGAGGGGUAUCGACCCCCUUCGUGUCGACGCUAACGCAAUUAAAUGUGCCGCCUGGGGAGGUACGGCCGCAAGGUUGAAAACUCAAAAGGAAUUGACGGGGCCCGCACAAGCGGUGGAGCAUGUGGUUUAAUUCGACGCAACGCGAAGAACCUUACCUAGGCUUGAACUGUUGGAAGUAGAAUUAAUGAAAGUUGAGACGACCUGUUAAAGUCAGGAACCAAUAGAGGUGCUGCAUGGCUGUCGU
Molecule: ribosomal RNA, 275 nt
Filed under: uncultured bacterium
Lineage: Bacteria
Description: partial 16S ribosomal RNA
Rfam family: Bacterial small subunit ribosomal RNA
Source: RNAcentral